GAUGAACGCUGGCGGCGUGCCUAAUACAUGCAAGUCGAGCGAACAGACGAGGAGCUUGCUCCUCUGACGUUAGCGGCGGACGGGUGAGUAACACGUGGAUAACCUACCUAUAAGACUGGGAUAACUUCGGGAAACCGGAGCUAAUACCGGAUAAUAUCUUGAACCGCAUGGUUCAAUAGUGAAAGACGGUUUUGCUGUCCCUUAUAGAUGGAUCCGCGCCGCAUUAGCUAGUUGGUAAGGUAACGGCUUACCAAGGCAACGAUGCGUAGCCGACCUGAGAGGGUGAUCGGCCACACUGGAACUGAGACACGGUCCAGACUCCUACGGGAGGCAGCAGUAGGGAAUCUUCCGCAAUGGGCGAAAGCCUGACGGAGCAACGCCGCGUGAGUGAUGAAGGUCUUCGGAUCUUAAAACUCUGUUAUUAGGGAAGAACAAAUGUGUAAGUAACUAUGCACGUCUUGACGGUACCUAAUCAGAAAGCCACGGCUAACUACGUG
Molecule: ribosomal RNA, 497 nt
Filed under: uncultured bacterium
Lineage: Bacteria
Description: partial 16S ribosomal RNA
Rfam family: Bacterial small subunit ribosomal RNA
Source: RNAcentral